GACACGACUGUUUCAUCUGUCGUUGUGGAGAAUCCACCAUCCUUUCCAGCUCCACAGGUUAUUCUGGAUGUUCGGGAACUUCCUCCAUCCCCAUCCCUGACACAAUGUCCGUACUGUCAUGAAUAUAUAACCACAGAGCUCACAAAGACCUCUGGUAGUGUGCCAUGUCUCAUCUGUUUAAUUUUAGUUAUGGUUGGUUGUGUAGCCGGCUGCUGCCUGAUCCCAUUCUGUAUCGAUUCCUUCAAAGACGUUGAACAUAAGUGUCCAAGAUGUCGGAGUCACAUCUACACAUGCAAAAAACUCUGAGGGGUGGAACUCUCAAAAAACACCUUCAGGUGAUUUCAACCACUCUAUACGAUCUCUAUGGAGAUAUCACAGCAUCUGUAGUUAGUGGGAUUAUUUAUUCCUCUUUUUAUCGUGAUGAUAUUUUCGGGUCACUGGAAUUCAUGAGACGUCACCACACAAAGGCAUCACAAAGAUACAACUGAGACACGAAUGCCUGAACCAUUCUGAGAUUGAAAGUCUUGCUCAAUGAUGGAUGAAUCACGACUAGCGUCUUGUGGCGUUUGAUCCAGAGACAGGCUGGUUUAUAGCCCUAAGGAUUAACUAUACCACACAUCCCUGAAAGGAAAUACACUUUUAAAGGUCUAUACGUUCUAGUUUGAAGAUGGUAAGUGGCUCCUGAGAUGUCCCCUUGAUAUAUUUUCUCAGUCAUUCUGUUUGGAGCUUCAAGAACAUUCAAGGUUUAUAUGCAUGCUUUAAAACUGCUGAAUACUCAAUCAAGCACUAAAUACUUUUAGGAUGUACUGGAAGAUAUAACAUGGAUCAAGAUGCAACAUUGUGACAAAACUAUGCACAUUGUGUAACUGUGUACCGAAUACCUUUCACUUUUUGAAUCUUUUAUUUAAAUCGUUUUCAUUUUUUAAGACUGCUGCACUGUAAAAAGGGAAAACUUCAAUUGUUACACUUAACCCAUUGUUCAAAUUCACUAGCCUUUCGUUAUGUUCGGGAUGAAAACAUUCAAUAAAUGAAACUGCUGUAAAAAUGUAUCAGAUAUAUAAAUAAAUAUAAAUAUAUAUAUUUGUACAUAAAUCUGUUAAUCAACCUCAAUCCUGAUCAAAACUACUAAAUGUUUACAAAAUCCCAGAAUUUGCCAAUUAAUAAAUGAUGUCACUGAUUUAGGAAAAAACACACAAAAUGACUUAUUUUCAAUAUAAAUUUUUAACCUUUUAUCACAGUCGUGGGGAUGUCAAAAAGAAGUAAAAACAUUGGCUUUGAUGCAUUGUUAGUUUUUGUGCAUCAUCAGAUUUAAUUUUUUUCUCCCUCAUUUACUGUUCGUGGCUGUUUUUGCCCCCAUUGAUUUCCAUUAUAAUGACAUUUUUUGAUUGCAAACCCACGACAUCAUAUAAUCAUGCAUUUUUGAUUGUUGGUGCUUUCCCUGUUGGGAAGAGGUAAAAUUUGUAAUUUUUACAGUUGAUCAGCAGGUGAAACCAUUAACCCUUUAGAUAGGUCUGUGCAAAAAAGCAUCCCGAACAUAAUGAAAGGGGCAGUGAACUUGCCCACAGUGU
Long non-coding RNA from Paramisgurnus dabryanus, 1568 nucleotides. RefSeq lists it as uncharacterized. The record is from RefSeq and is a predicted model, not a curated record. Lineage: Eukaryota; Metazoa; Chordata; Actinopteri; Cypriniformes; Cobitidae.